AGGAUAUUUAUGUCUUGGGACAAUUUAUUUUAUUUGAACCUUUAUUUAUCUAGGCAAGUCAGUUAAGAACAAAUUCUUAUUGACAAUGAAAGCCUAGGAACAGUGGGUUAACUGCCUUCUUCAGGGGCAGAAGGACUGAUUUUUACCUUGUCAGCUCGGGGUAUUCGAUCCAGCAACCUUUUGGUUAGUGGCCCAACACUCUAACCACUAGGCUAUCUGCCGCCCCUAAAAGAUGAAAUGAACACCUGUAGUGUUAUAGUAAAUCAUUUUGGUGUGUUGUUCUGCACUCUAGUUAUCAAUUUGUCUCCCUCUGCCAUAUGGAUCAAAUCAAAUCAAAUUUAUUUAUAUAGCCCUUCUUACAUCAGCUGAUAUCUCAAAGUGCUGUACAGAAAUCCAGCCUAAAACCCCAAACUGCAAGCAAUGCAGGUGUAGAAGCACGGUGGCUUGGAAAAACUCUAGAAAGGCCAAAACCUAGGAAGAAACCUAGAGAGGAACCAGGCUAUGAGGGGUGGCCAGUCCUCUUCUGGCUGUGCCGGGUGGAGAUUAUAACAGAACAUGGCCAAGAUGUUCAAAUGUUCAUAAAUGACCAUCAGGGUCAAAUAAUAAUAAUCACAGUAGUUGUCGAGGGUGCAACAAGUCAGCACCUGAAGAGUAAAUGUCAGUUGGCUUUUCAUAGCCGAUCAUUCAGAGUAUCUCUACCGCUCCUGCUGUCUCUAGAGAGUUGAAAACAGCAGGUCUGGGUACAGGUAGCACGUCCGGUGAACAGGUCAGGGUUUCAUACCCGCAGGCAGAACAGUUGAAACUGGAGCAGCAGCACGGCCAGGUGGACUGGGGACAGCAAGGAGUCAUCAGGCCAGGUAGUCCUGAGGCAUGGUCCUAGGGCAACCACCCAGAGUUAGGGUACCCACCCAGAGUUAGGACAACCACCCAGAGUUAGGACAACCACCCAGAGUGUCAGGAAUCCCGCUUCCUGAGUCUGUUUCUGCCUCAGAUUACUGUUUGUUUGAGUGUUGUCUAAGGUUCCUGAACGCACCCUGUCUGGUUGCCAGGCAACGAGGUUAGGUGGGAGAUCUAGUUAUUACACGCACCUGCAUCUCAUCAACCUUCUGCACACCUGGUCCUGAUCUUCACCUCUUCUUAAACCCUGAGCUGACAUCCAUUCCCUGCCGGAUCGUUAGCAACGAACAUCAUUCUCCCAAAACAUUCAACUCCCUUGCCUGGCCGUCGGUGGAUACAGUGACUUCAUUGGAUCAACCCAUUUACUCUCAUCAACUCACCUCCGCUGCCGCUCCGUCUCCUGGAUCACUCAAAUUACACAUCAAGACUACCAAUAAAUACUCACCUUCAUUUUACUCACCUCGUCCUGGUCUGCUUCUGGGUUCUGUCUUAGAGAAUCGUGACACAGAGUUAGGACAACCACCCAGAGUUAGGACAACCACCCAGAGUUAGAAUAUCCACCCAGAGUAAGGAUA
Molecule: long non-coding RNA, 1472 nt
Filed under: Salmo salar (Atlantic salmon)
Lineage: Eukaryota; Metazoa; Chordata; Actinopteri; Salmoniformes; Salmonidae
Description: lncRNA (ENSSSAG00000101421.1)
Source: RNAcentral